Long non-coding RNA from Drosophila simulans, 1809 nucleotides. RefSeq lists it as uncharacterized. The transcript is spliced from 3 exons. The record is from RefSeq and is a predicted model, not a curated record. NCBI's taxonomy places the organism in Eukaryota, Metazoa, Arthropoda, Insecta, Diptera, Drosophilidae.
UUUGCUGAACGUGAUGUUUGAAUUCAAAUAAUACUUCUUAAGAUUGAAAUAAGUCCAAAUGGGGAAUACUCCUUAAAUGGGAUGUUUGCAUUCGUAGCAAGUUGUUGAUUAACUUUGUGUUCCACAUACAUAUCUUUUGACCUAUUUACACCCAACAUCCUUCGAUUUAUAGGCCCUAAGAGUUCGCGUAAUGUUUGAACAACAAUGGAAUUUGAAGUACACACUUUCCUGACGUUAGUUAUAAAAGUGACAUAACUUUUAAGCAUUUUACUGGUGGAGACUUGACAUAAAUCCUACUUAAUUCAAAUUUUCCAAACAUUCCAUUUCUUUAAUACUCUUAAUCAUGUGAUCUUUGUAAAUAACAACAUAGAUAAUAAGAAUAGUUCAAUUAUACCGAUUAAAUCAAGUUGUGCAAGAAGGAUAAUGUUGAGUGUGCGUGACACGCAGCAGAAAGCAAAGCUGGUAUUAAUUAGCCCGUCUUUUCGGGAUGUACUAAUUGCAGCUCUGGCCCAUCGCACAACUGUACUUAUAUCCAAUGAAAUGCCAAAACUAUGUAGGAAACCCUUCCCGAAACACUGAAUCCACGAAUUAGUGCCACUUUUGAGAGCCAGUCGGCCGUGUAAAGAGGGCUAUAACGCUCGCACUUUGUACCUGGACUGCGCUAAUGGAUCGGAACCCAAGAAUGAUAUAAGCACGAGAAUGAGUUGACAAAUCUAACGAUUCCCGGAUGAAGUUACAGAUUCUCUUAAGGUCAAUAUAUAUAUUAGGAUGAAUGCUUGGCAUAUAAACCUAACCUUCAAAUCUAUUUUAAAUAUGCAUAUGGAUAGUCUGUUUCCGACUUGUCAAAUAAAUAUAAAUUGAUUUUGAAGUGAAAUCGAAUAAAUGUUCGUUUUGCAAUUCACCAUAAAGUAAUUUUAAUAAAUUAAUGUGUAUUAUGUUUAAGUGUUUGGAGUAGUUCAAAUAGAAAUAUUGUGAGUGAAUUGCACUUAGAAUUUCUCAAAAGAGGAAAUUCAAUCAAUUUGCGACACACAAUGAAGCAAAUCCGAAAGAGUCAGUGCGUCUGAACCGGUCUAAUCACAGAAUGCAAAUCGCAGCGAUUCCUCCAUUGGAAACUGGACACCGGGUGACAAGAGGAAAUUCCAGGAAGAGAGUGCAUACAACUGCCAAGUGCUUUCGAAUUCAAAUUCGCUUGGGCCACGUCCAUGUCGCCGUCCAGAAGCCCGUGUCCCCGCUCCUCCCCCGGAAUUAUGCCAACCAGAACCAUUCUCAUUCUGAGUCGGUUCUCCAUGUCCAUGUCCACGGGCCCAGACCACGCUCAAAUGUUCAAAUGUCCAAAAGAUUCGCUUGGCUGCGUAUCAGUUAGUUGCGCGUAAUGCCCAAAGUCAUUAUGGCAAAAAUCGCAAAAAGACUAAACGUUAAAAAUGCUGAAAUUAAAACUAUAUAUACGAAUUAUGAAAUUGUUUAUCGGAAUAAGGCGAUGCGAGGCACAAAAACGGCCAACUAGCGAUGACAAUAUGGAAACUGGAAACAAAAGUGGCAAAAAGUUAAGCUAAAGUAAUUAUAAUUUAAAAACAAGCUCGAGACAAAAGAGCACACGUCACUAAUCCAUAGUGUAAUUCUCUAGAUACAAUUACAAGAUUAGAAACGAUUUUAUGAAACAUUUAAAUACUGCAAAUGGGCAUUGUUUUGGAGUUAAAAUUUUUUAUAAGCUUAAAUCAUUUCGGGUUCAGUGGUUGAGUUCACUCAUUGCUUAAUCAUUUCAUAGGCCAAAAUCGCAUCAAUUUAGAAGGUGGAAUUAUAUAUAAUAAA